GUGCUCACUUUGGCAGCACAUAUACUAAAAUUGGAACAAUACAGAAAAGAUUAGCAUGACCCCU
Molecule: small nuclear RNA, 64 nt
Filed under: Prolemur simus (greater bamboo lemur)
Lineage: Eukaryota; Metazoa; Chordata; Mammalia; Primates; Lemuridae
Source: RNAcentral